This 204-nucleotide long non-coding RNA is filed under the name Vitis vinifera (wine grape). Its description in RNAcentral is "long non-coding RNA (VVIN_LNC007928)". Lineage: Eukaryota; Viridiplantae; Streptophyta; Magnoliopsida; Vitales; Vitaceae. The record is from RNAcentral.
UUUAUCUUUGACGACUCUUGAGAGUGUACAAUCAACAGGACCUCCUUUGCAAAAGAUUCUGAGCACUGGAGCUUUGAGGACGAAAGCGCUUCAGGGCCGCCCUUAGAAGACCUUGCUUUUGUCUCGUGGGCUUGAUUAAAGAUUGGACCAGCAGGAGGCCCAAAACUUUUCGCCCCAAACUAGGCCCUAACAGACCGGGCUUUU